Molecule: long non-coding RNA, 166 nt
Organism: Coregonus clupeaformis (lake whitefish)
Lineage: Eukaryota; Metazoa; Chordata; Actinopteri; Salmoniformes; Salmonidae
Exons: 3
Source: RefSeq, a predicted model, not a curated record
AAGAGACAGCAGACACUGCUCCUAAUAAUGGACCAGGAGACCAGCACUCAGUUCAUGUUCAGUGGUGGAAGAGACCCUCUGGAGUUGCUGCAGUGUGUCUGGGGCUGCUGUGUGUUCUCCUACUGGCUGGGAUCAUAGGCCUGUCUGUCUACUGUGGAGUCAUUGG